Molecule: ribosomal RNA, 433 nt
Filed under: uncultured bacterium
Lineage: Bacteria
Description: partial 16S ribosomal RNA
Rfam family: Bacterial small subunit ribosomal RNA
Source: RNAcentral
AGCGAACGCUGGCGGCAGGCCUAACACAUGCAAGUCGAACGAACCUUUCGGGGUUAGUGGCGGACGGGUGAGUAACACGUGGGAACGUGCCUUUAGGUUCGGAAUAACUCAGGGAAACUUGUGCUAAUACCGAAUGUGCCCUUCGGGGGAAAGAUUUAUCGCCUUUAGAGCGGCCCGCGUCUGAUUAGCUAGUUGGUUGAGGUAAUGGCUCACCAAGGCGACGAUCAGUAGCUGGUCUGAGAGGAUGAUCAGCCACAUUGGGACUGAGACACGGCCCAAACUCCUACGGGAGGCAGAAGUGGGGAAUCUUGCGCAAUGGGGGAAAGCCUGACGCCGCCAUGCCGGGUGAAUGAUGAAGGUUUUAGGAUUGUAAAAUUCUUUCACCGGGGACGAUAAUGACGGUACCCGGAAAAGAAGCCCCGGCUAACUUCGU